Molecule: non-coding RNA, 924 nt
Organism: Arachis ipaensis
Lineage: Eukaryota; Viridiplantae; Streptophyta; Magnoliopsida; Fabales; Fabaceae
Source: RefSeq, a predicted model, not a curated record
GUUCUGCCCCUGCUUCUGGUUUCGCAAUUGCCAAAGUCUCUGCCGCCAUGGGUAUUGCCGUUGGGGUUGUUGGAAACCAACGAUGGAGCUGCCCGGAAACCCUAUUGAUGUAUGCCCUGGUCUUUGGUCUGUGUUCUUCUGAGUACCAGAGCUGCUGCUCCAUUCCAGUAUUUCUUUUGGUUACUAUUAAAUUUCCUUCCAAAGUUGCUGUUGCUGUUCCCGUGGGGGUUAUUGUUAUCACUGUCGCCAUGAAUUGAAAGAAAAGGAAAUUAUCACGAUUAGUUACGAGGACUCAGCUAACUGAGGUAGGAGUUUUCUUAAAAUUUAUUUUAUAAUUCAGAGUUGUGAUAAAUAGAUAUUGAUGCAAAAAGAUAUAUUUCUGUGAUUAUAUUUGUCUUGUGGAUGUGAUGGUUAGUUGGACUGGAUUAUUGGAUGCUUGAUUGCGUGAGUGGUGUAUGGUUGUUGAUAAAAACCGGUUUGAAAUGUUAUUUGCUUGAUUAGUAUGAAAAGUGGAUUUUUCUUGGUUUUGGAGUUUACUUAGUAAUAUAAAUGAAUCGAUUCUGAGGGCUGGUCUGAUUUUAUAAGUGAACUACUAUUUGAGCUGAUUUGAUUUUAAAAAGAGUUUUACUAUUGGAAUUGGUUUGAUUUAAAAAUAAUUUGGUAUUGGAACUGGCUCAACUCUGGAAAAUGUUUGAGAUUUGGAUAUGGUUGAAAAAGAUUUGAGAAAUGUUUGGAUGGGAUCCGAAAAGGGUGGCAGUGUCCGAGUUUUAGAGGAGAUGCUGCCGAAAUUUUAUAAAAUUGGAAGUUCCACUUUAAGUAUUAUCUGAAAAGAUUUGGUUUAAAACAUUACAUGUCUUAAGGUUGAUUUAUUUAUCAAAGAAAGAAAUAUGUUUUGAAUUGGGGUUGUUAGUGAACGGAAUGGAA